AUUUAUAUAGUUUAAAAUAAUAAAACUUUACAUUUUCACUGUAAAAAUAAAAUCUUUUUUUUAUAAAUA
This 69-nucleotide transfer RNA is filed under the name Dendrolimus houi. Its description in RNAcentral is "tRNA-Glu". Lineage: Eukaryota; Metazoa; Arthropoda; Insecta; Lepidoptera; Lasiocampidae. The record is from RNAcentral.